UAUUUGUGGAUUUUCCUUGGCAAGUUGGAGUUGAAGUAGAUGGUGUUGAGAUAGAGGUCCCUGAGGAUGCCGAAGGUGUACUUGUUGCGAAUAUUGGAAGCUACAUGGGCGGUAUAGAUUUGUGGCAAAAUGAAAAUGAAACUUAUGAUAAUUUU
Prunus avium (sweet cherry) is the source of this 155-nucleotide non-coding RNA. The record is from RefSeq and is a predicted model, not a curated record. NCBI's taxonomy places the organism in Eukaryota, Viridiplantae, Streptophyta, Magnoliopsida, Rosales, Rosaceae.